UACAGAGGGUGCAAGCGUUAAUCGGAAUUACUGGGCGUAAAGCGCACGUAGGCGGUUGUUUAAGUUGGAUGUGAAAGCCCCGGGCUCAACCUGGGAAUUGCAUUCAAAACUGGACAACUAGAGUGUGUGAGAGGGGGGUAGAAUUCCAAGUGUAGCGGUGAAAUGCGUAGAGAUUUGGAGGAAUACCAGUGGCGAAGGCGGCCCCCUGGCACAACACCGACGCUCAGGUGCGAAAGCGUGGGGAGCAAAC
Molecule: ribosomal RNA, 250 nt
Filed under: uncultured Rheinheimera sp.
Lineage: Bacteria; Pseudomonadati; Pseudomonadota; Gammaproteobacteria; Chromatiales; Chromatiaceae
Description: partial 16S ribosomal RNA
Rfam family: Bacterial small subunit ribosomal RNA
Source: RNAcentral